AAUAUUUCACAAUGGGGGAAACCCUGAUGCAGCGACGCCGCGUGAGCGAAGAAGGCCUNCGGGUCNUNAAGCUCUGUCCUAAGGGNCGAAACGGACGGUACCUUACGCGUAAGCCCCGGCUAGCUACGUUCCAGCAGCCGCGGUAAUACGUAGGGGGCGAGCGUUAUCCGGAAUUAUUGGGCGUAAAGGGUGCGUAGGCGGCCUUUUAAGUCAGAUGUGAAAGGCUGCGGCUUAAAAGUAGUUAGCAUUUGAAACUAAAAGGCUUGAGUGCAGGAGAGGAGAGUGGAAUUCCUAGUGUAGCGGUGAAAUGCGUAGAUAUUAGGAGGAACACCAGUGGCGAAGGCGACUCUCUGGACUGCAACUGACGCUGAGACACGAAAGCGUGGGGAGCGAAC
RNAcentral lists this ribosomal RNA (395 nucleotides) under uncultured bacterium. RNAcentral's name for it is "partial 16S ribosomal RNA". It matches the Rfam family "Bacterial small subunit ribosomal RNA", at positions 360 to 773 of the family's 1533-position model. The record is from RNAcentral.